GUUACUUUUCACUGAACACGUACUGCUCGGACUGCGAGUGUUUUUUUUUUUUUUUUUUCUAAGUUCUAUCAUCGCUACACCGGAAAACGCAAGAGUUCGACUGUGUGUGCAUCACGAGUUGGUUUUGCUUCCCAAAUUUCUUGUCUGGCAAGAGGGAAGCACAGAAGAGGAAGGGGAAGAUGAUGAAACGUGAAGAAUCGCAAGAGGAGGAAGAGGGCGAUGAGCCGAAGACGAGGACGAGGAGUCGUGAAGAGUCGCAAGAGGAAUAAGAGCUGCUGCUAAUGGACAGUCUUGUGCAGAGGGGAAGCACAGCGAAGAGGAAGAUGAAGAGCAUUAAAAGUUAAGUGUCGCAAGAGGAGGAAGUGGACGACGACGAGGAGGGCGAGGAAAAGUGAAGGGUCGCAAGAGAGAGAAGAGGGCAAGGAGUAGUGAUGAGUCGGAAGAGGAAGAGGAGCUGAUGAGCGGGUGUGUGUGAUUUCCUAUGUGGUAUUUACAAUUUAGUAAGUGGUUGCAUUGCGAGUUGUCCAGCCUCGGUCAGCGCGUGUAGUCACUGGCCUAGGAGGGAAAGGGAGACGUGGGGCCCGACCGGCCGACUGUGUGCUGCAGCUGCUGCCUGCUAGCGCCGCCGCCGCCGCUGUCAGAGUGAGCAGACGUCAAGUAGGAAGGUGUGGCGUUUGAAAAGCAUCCGUGUACAGUUGCCUUAUUUAACCUGUGGACUUUUAACAACAAGACAGUGACACGAGCCAUGAUUGCCUUUUGUGUGCUGGUGUAGGCUUUGGUGCUUGCCGGAAGUCUUGCAGCGGCUUAUGAAGGCCAGGAAGACUCAUAUUUAAUGGUAAGUGACCCAGCAAAACCUGUCGGCGUACUGAUGAGACAUGUUGUUCAGGUCCUUCAAUGGAAACUUUUUGAGUUUAUUUUGCCGUCUCCCUGCUUCAUCCUAUGGUUGUCCAAGUAAGGUCUCAGAGCCAUAGCCAAGUCAAAGGGUGGUAAGGAUAAAAAAGAAAAAAUAAAUUAUCAACAGGCUUCCCUCAUGGAGGCCUUAAAUGUAGAUAACCCAGACCUGCUUAGCGCUUCUAAUUCUCACCAAGCUACUGGUCCUACACUAGUUUCCCGUAACUUAGAUAAAGUUGAUAAAGUGCUACCUGAGGAUUAACUAUAUAGAAUGAGAGGGAGGAAAAGGUUAAGAUGAUUUAGUCCCAUGUGAGCGAAUUAGCAUAUAUUAAAUACCUGGUGUACUACUACUUGUCUUCAGAAAAUCGUUAGUAAAGACGUGUCAUUUUGAUGCAGAGUUGGUUUGCUAGCCAGCAAGCCAACAUCGUGUCUGCAAAGCUAGUUAGUGUUCGUCACCUUGCCUCGCCUCGCCGCAGGGCCUGACGGCAACAAAUGUCAAGUGGUGGAUGUGUUGCUCCUACCUGAUGUGUCUUGUAAGCCACAUGAACAGCCACCCAUCUUCAAUUGUAAUAAUUACCUUGGAAUGGAUGGUCGGGAGAGAAGCAGCUUGAGAAGGCAGCCAGUGUGGUAGUAUUCUUCCACAACCAGAUACCCAAACUGAACCGCGACUCAAACUCACGAACCAAGUUGCUCUGGUGAAAGAAACGAGGAUUGGCAGGAUGACGAGUAGAACAUGUAUAAUUAAGUGGUUAGGUACACUGAUAAACAGAUGAGUGAAAAGUGAGAAGGCCUUAGAACAUUAGAAAGAUAGAUUAGGAGGAAGAGGGUUAGAAAGGGAAUAAAGGUUAGGAGACUAGGAUAAAGCCACAUAAAAAGAUAGACAUAUGAUGAGUAGGGUGAGAAAGAUGAGGAAUUAGUGGUAUGCAUUAAAGGCAGAUAUAGUUAAUAAGUAGAGAUAGAUAGGAGGAGAAAGAAGCAGCGAAGGAGAAAAUUGAUGUUUAGAUUAAGUGCGUAAAUAAAAAGA
This is a long non-coding RNA of Portunus trituberculatus (swimming crab), 1915 nucleotides long. RefSeq lists it as uncharacterized. Lineage: Eukaryota; Metazoa; Arthropoda; Malacostraca; Decapoda; Portunidae. The record is from RefSeq and is a predicted model, not a curated record. The transcript is spliced from 5 exons.